AGUGAACGCUGGCGGUAGGCCUAACACAUGCAAGUCGAACGGCAGCACAGUAAGAGCUUGCCCUUACGGGUGGCGAGUGGCGGACGGGUGAGGAAUACAUCGGAAUCUACUUUUUCGUGGGGGAUAACGUAGGGAAACUUACGCUAAUACCGCAUACGACCUACGGGUGAAAGCAGGGGAUCUUCGGACCUUGCGCGAUUGAAUGAGCCGAUGUCGGAUUAGCUAGUUGGCGGGGUAAAGGCCCACCAAGGCGACGAUCCGUAGCUGGUCUGAGAGGAUGAUCAGCCACACUGGAACUGAGACACGGUCCAGACUCCUACGGGAGGCAGCAGUGGGGAAUAUUGGACAAUGGGCGCAAGCCUGAUCCAGCCAUACCGCGUGGGUGAAGAAGGCCUUCGGGUUGUAAAGCCCUUUUGUUGGGAAAGAAAAGCAGCAGGUUAAUACCCCGCUGUUCGGACGGUACCCAAAGAAUAAGCACCGGCGAACUUCGU
Molecule: ribosomal RNA, 491 nt
Filed under: uncultured bacterium
Lineage: Bacteria
Description: partial 16S ribosomal RNA
Rfam family: Bacterial small subunit ribosomal RNA
Source: RNAcentral